Molecule: non-coding RNA, 2954 nt
Organism: Parasteatoda tepidariorum (common house spider)
Lineage: Eukaryota; Metazoa; Arthropoda; Arachnida; Araneae; Theridiidae
Source: RefSeq, a predicted model, not a curated record
CUUCUAUACCCUACUAAUAUUUUCUACUAAUUUUUCUUAAGUGAAGGUUUAUUACAAAUCUUUGCCAGAUUUUAAAUAUUUAUAUUUUCAAAACUAUUAAACAUAUUUCAUGAAAUAUAUUAUUUUUUUAUUCAAAUACAAAGAUUUCAUCUGUCUCUUACUGGGCAAACUUCUGAUUGAAUUCAUUCCUCAUAUUUCAUUCAUAACGUGUCGUUAAUAUAACCUAAUAAAAUGAUUUCAAAUGGCAUAAGGUCUGGAGAUCUUUGUGGCCAUGUAAUUAAGGGUAAAUCCCCUGUCCAAUGCUGUAAACAUUGGAAGAACUUCAUUUGUGCAAUGCUAUUAGAACUGUGAGAAUUUAGAAAAUGUGUGGAGCAAACUUGAUUGCAGAAUUAGAUAUCUGCUGUGUAAUGAAAUGGCCAUAUAUUGAGUUGAAUGUUUAAAAAAAAAACUUAUAUUUCUUUAAAAAAUUUGUGCAUCAAUUAUUGUAAUAUGUGUAGCAGUUUCAAACAUGUAAAAUCUGCUCAUUCAUUUCUGAAAACCUUGCAGUGUUGAUUUUUUUUAAAUGUCUGAAGUUUUCUGUUGAAAUAUUCUUAAAAAAUUUAAUUUACUAUCACUUAAAUGUGUCCUUUCUUGUGAUAGAGACAUUCACUAAUUGUGAAAUAAAAAGAGCUUUUUAAUGGAAGUUGUGUUGUUGCUUUUCACCUAGAUUUAAGCCCCUAAACAAAAUCAAAAAGGUCAUUUCGCACCAACAAUGUAUAUUGUUGACGUGACAUGAUAUACUGAACAAUAUAAUGUGACAAUAUAUUGAAAUGUAAUGAGAUGUCCUGUAUUAAGUACUCCAUCAUUAAAAGAAUUUCUUUAAAUAAAGGUUUCUUUUAUACAUACAGCACAAUACUGUAUAAUGGAGUGUUUUCAUUUAACAGGUUCUUCCAUUUUAAGCUCUUCAGUUGAUGUGUUUGAUAUUAUUGAUGCUGGCAUAUUUUAUGUAAGUCUACUUACAAAAUGUUAACUUGUUUAAACAAAAUAUUUCAAGUCUGUGAAUCAAAAUCUUUAAUAUACGUAUUUUGUAAUUCUAUACUUAGAAUAUUUUUAUAAAAUAUUUUGCUGCCCUUUCUAAAUGUGAUUAAAAAUUGGAAUAGCAUGUUAUUCUUUAAGUCAUAACUGUAUUAAGUUGUUGUAAUACUUUAAUUAAUUGCUUCGUUAACUGCCUCUGCUCUUAUGUUUCGAUGAAUUUCAGAGUGGAAAAAAUUUAUUGAUAUAAAUAAAUAUUUAUAAAUAUGUGAUAAUUAUAAAUUAUUGUAUUAUACUAUAAAUGCGAUGUAAUGAAACUGAAUUUGCAUUUUGGUUCUUUUACUUGUUCUUGUAAUUUAUGGUGGGGAAAAAAAGAAGUAUGAAAAUAUUACCUGUAAGGUAUUGAUCAAACAUUUCAGAGUGACUAGCUUAUUGUAGAUUUGUCAUAAAAUUUUCUGCUUAUUGACACAACUACUUCUUCAAAAGUUUUACAGCCAGGCAAGGCCCUCCCAAUCAGUUGAAACUAUUUCAGCCUACCCAGCACACCUUUUUUAUCCUUUCAGUCCCAAAAACUCAUUUUUCAAUGAAAAAAAAAUUUUUUUAAAGCUUAUAAAACAGACUCUUUUUGCAUUCUAAAUAUAACAGAGCAGAAAUUUUUUUUUAAAAUAAAAUUUCAAAUUAUUCCAGAUGGCAUCAUUGGGAACAAAGUACUAAACAUUACUCAUACUUUUUAGAAUCAUCGCGAGUGAAUUAAAAAAAAAUUGAAAACAUUAUGCAUUAUUUAAUGAUUAAGUAAUUUAUAACUAUGGGAAGAAAUUGAACCAAUUUUUAACAUUAUAAAUGUGGAAGUAUUCAUUGCUAUAACACUGUAACAACAAUUGCUUUUUCUUUCUUUUUUUUAAAAUUUUACAUGAAAUGUUCUGAGACAGUUUUUAGUCUUAUGGGGCAGAGAUGGAUUUUUCACACAUUACAAUCAGACUUAAUACAUAAUUUGAAAUUUUUUUUUUCUUUGAUGUGAAGAUACCAUUGAGCAACUUUUGUAAGAAUAAGAAAUAAUAAUACCUAAGGACAAAGAGUAACUGAAUAAAAUAGAGUAAACAAGACAGGUGAUGUUUUGUACCCACUGAGUCUAUUUGGAAUCCUAACUUUUCUAAGAAUGAAAACUCAAAUAUUUUCAAAAGAAAAUGAUUACGUACUGUUUAAGUACCAUUUAUGAAUAUUCGAACAAAUAAAUAUAAAAUUUUUAAAAACAUCGUUUAAUCUCUAAUGGAAAAAAAAAAAAAAACGCAAACAAGCAUCACCAACAGAUGCAGUGCAAUCACCAAUCGGCAAAAAGAAAGUAUACUUUCUUUAGGAAAUGUUAGUAGAUAAAAAUGUUGUCCAUUUGGACAACAUUUAUUGAUUUGGGUAAAAAAAUGAUUUAGGUAAAAAAAAAAAAAUUAAUGUUACGAUUCCAGUUGGCAUCACUGGGACUGAAAGGGUUAAUUUUGUCAAUCUACCACGCACUUUUUCUCACUUUUAAAGUGCAAGUCAGUAAAAAAAAACAAAUUGGUGGUAGGUAACAGUAUUUGGUUUUAAAAUUUGUUAUUUCUUAUCACGCUAUGCAGUGUUUAUGAAGUUUCUUAAAAAAAGUUCAUAAAACAAUUUAAGAAUCAAAAAGGAAAAUUAAGCACUUAUUUUUAGUUUUUCCUACAAACACUUCUGUUUCUUAGAGUUUCUCAAAAAACGUAGUAAGCAUGUUUGAAGGUUCCCCCUCCCUUCUUCAUUUGAGUGCAAUAUAGGUGACUCUGUUUUUGUGUUAAAAUACUUACCUGUUUAUUAACACUAAUAUGAAUAUUACAUUAUUUGUGCCAUUUGUUUUAUGAGUGCAAAUUAUUUUACCCUAACCAAAGUGCAGAUAAUUGCUACUAAUUAUUUAUUAAAACAUAUUUUCUUUUUUUUUU